UUGUGCAAAACAUUCAAUAUGUGUACAUUUACCCUACCAUUUUACCACCACAUAUGUGUAUAAGAAAUAGAUCGUAUUUUAUUCAAUAAAUAUUACUAUAGGUUCUUGUGCCUCCGCCAUGGCAGGACGGCUAGAAA
This is a long non-coding RNA of Aedes aegypti (yellow fever mosquito), 137 nucleotides long. RefSeq lists it as uncharacterized. The transcript has 2 exons. Lineage: Eukaryota; Metazoa; Arthropoda; Insecta; Diptera; Culicidae. The record is from RefSeq and is a predicted model, not a curated record.